UGGGGAAUUUUGGACAAUGGGGGAAACCCUGAUCUAGCCAUCCCGCGUGUGCGAUGAAGGCCUUCGGGUUGUAAAGCACUUUUGGCAGGAAAGAAACGUCAUGUGUUAACACCCCGUGAAACUGACGGUUCCUUCAGAAUAAGCACCGGCUAACUACGUGCCAGCAGCCGCGGUAAUACGUAGGGUGCAAGCGUUAAUCGGAAUUACUGGGCGUAAAGCGUGCGCAGGCGGUUCGGAAAGAAAGAUGUGAAAUCCCAGAGCUCAACUUUGGAACUGCAUUUUUAACUACCGGGCUAGGGUGUGUCAGAGGGAGGUGGAAUUCCGCGUGUAGCGGUGAAAUGCGUAGAUAUGCGGAGGAACACCGAUGGCGAAGGCAGCCUCCUGGGAUAACACUGACGCUCAUGCACGAAAGCGUGGGGAGCAAACAGG
RNAcentral lists this ribosomal RNA (429 nucleotides) under Acidobacteriota bacterium. RNAcentral describes it as "Acidobacteria bacterium partial 16S ribosomal RNA". It matches the Rfam family "Bacterial small subunit ribosomal RNA", at positions 355 to 776 of the family's 1533-position model. The record is from RNAcentral. Lineage: Bacteria; Pseudomonadati; Acidobacteriota.